GCUGGCUAGAAGUCCGAUGCGGGUUCUGUCCAAUGGACAGCGCCACUCUGCUGAGGGCGGGACGGCGCGGAGCCUGCAGAGCUGGUGGUGAAGGCGCGUGGCCGAGGCAGGCGAGAGUGGACGCUGCAGGAUGGUAAAACAUAAGAGAAAAUGUCCCAAAGGGACAGAAAAGACGAGUAAAAAGCAAAAGAUAACGUCAUCAGAAGAGACACUGCAGGCUUCUGACGCCGGGCUGGGCAAGGAGAUGACCAGCCUCAAGGUAAUCAUGUGUACACCUUCAUGGUGCUUGUGUUAAGAUCAGAGGACAACUCGUGGAAUUCAGUUCUCUACUUCUACUAAUAUGGGAUUGAACUUGAGUCGUCAG
Molecule: long non-coding RNA, 364 nt
Organism: Arvicola amphibius (Eurasian water vole)
Lineage: Eukaryota; Metazoa; Chordata; Mammalia; Rodentia; Cricetidae
Exons: 3
Source: RefSeq, a predicted model, not a curated record